AUUGAACGCUGGCGGCAGGCCUAACACAUGCAAGUCGAACGGUAACAGGAAGACGCUUGCUUCUUUGCUGACGAGUGGCGGACGGGUGAGUAAUGUCUGGGAAACUGCCUGAUGGAGGGGGAUAACUACUGGAAACGGUAGCUAAUACCGCAUAACGUCGCAAGACCAAAGAGGGGGACCUUCGGGCCUCUUGCCAUCGGAUGUGCCCAGCUGGGAUUAGCUAGUAGGUGGGGUAACGGCUCACCUAGGCGACGAUCCCUAGCUGGUCUGAGAGGAUGACCAGCCACACGGGAACUGAGACACGGUCCAGACUCCUACGGGAGGCAGCAGUGGGGAAUAUUGCACAAUGGGCGCAAGCCUGAUGCAGCCAUGCCGCGGGUAUGAAGAAGGCCUUCGGGUUGUAAAGUACUUUCAGCGGGGAGGAAGGGAGUAAAGUUAAUACCUGUGCUCAUUGACGUUACCCGCAGAAGAAGCACCGGCGAACUCCGU
This 489-nucleotide ribosomal RNA is filed under the name uncultured bacterium. Its description in RNAcentral is "partial 16S ribosomal RNA". It matches the Rfam family "Bacterial small subunit ribosomal RNA", at positions 30 to 506 of the family's 1533-position model. The record is from RNAcentral.